This 496-nucleotide ribosomal RNA is filed under the name uncultured bacterium. RNAcentral describes it as "bacterial SSU rRNA". It matches the Rfam family "Bacterial small subunit ribosomal RNA", at positions 17 to 507 of the family's 1533-position model. The record is from RNAcentral.
UCCUGGCUCAGGAUGAACGCUGGCGGCGUGCCUAAUACAUGCAAGUCGAACGAAUCUCUUUUAGAGAUGAGUGGCGAACGGGUGAGUAAUACAUAGGUAACCUGCCCCUGCGCGGGGGAUAACAGGAGGAAACUCCUGCUAAUACCGCAUAGCCAUGAGCACCGCAUGGAGCUCAUGCCAAAUAUCCUUUCGGGGAUAGCGCAGGGAUGGACCUAUGGCGCAUUAGCUAGUUGGCGGGGCAACGGCCCACCAAGGCAACGAUGCGUAGCCGGCCUGAGAGGGCGGACGGCCACAUUGGGACUGAGACACGGCCCAGACUCCUACGGGAGGCAGCAGUAGGGAAUUUUCGGCAAUGGGGGAAACCCUGACCGAGCAACGCCGCGUGAGCGAAGAAGGCCUUCGGGUCGUAAAGCUCUGUUGUAAAGGAAGAACGGCGCAUACAGGAAAUGGUAUGCGAGUGACGGUACUUUACCAGAAAGCCACGGCUAACUACGUG